GAUGCAGACCUGGGUUGCUCUGUCCUAAGCUGACCCCACACGCUGGCGUUUUGAAGGUGGCCUGGCUGGGCAGUGUGAUUUUUUUUUUUUUUCCAGGGAUGGCCCAAACAUUUGUGAAUUUCAGCACUUUGGCUUUUAUUCAGUGUGAUUUGAGGAAGAGCCCAUCUGAAAGUUCUUCAAACAACUGUAAAUCAAGGGAAUUGAUUGUAUGGAACAAAAGCACGGUGACAAGAGAACUGGAACAGGAUUAAUUACCUAGUUUAUUGAAACAGUGUACAAAUAUCU
RNAcentral lists this long non-coding RNA (285 nucleotides) under Capra hircus (goat). RNAcentral describes it as "lncRNA (ENSCHIG00010010561.1)". Lineage: Eukaryota; Metazoa; Chordata; Mammalia; Artiodactyla; Bovidae. The record is from RNAcentral.